Molecule: long non-coding RNA, 583 nt
Organism: Dermochelys coriacea (leatherback sea turtle)
Lineage: Eukaryota; Metazoa; Chordata; Testudines; Dermochelyidae
Exons: 4
Source: RefSeq, a predicted model, not a curated record
GGAGCCAAUACCCUCCCAAGGCGGAAUCCCCGACCCUGAAGCCGGAGAAGGCAGCUCUGGUGCAAAUGUAGCUAUGCUCUCCUUAUCUCCAUCCCUGAGAUUAUUGCAGAUUAGAAGGCGAAAAAACCCGCACUCGCGAUGAUAUGUUUUCCGAGCUCAUGAAGUCCUCCCACACUGAUAGGGCACAGCUUAAUGCAUGGAGCAUUCACUGGCAGAGGCUAGGAAAGCAUUAAGUGACCACGAAGAGCAGAGGCAGGAGGCGAUGCUGAGGCUAAUGGGGGAGCAAAUGGACAUGAUGAAGCAUCUGUUGGAGCUGCAGGAAAGCCAACAAGGGCACAGACCCCUGGUGCAUCCAUUGUAUAGCUGCCUGCCCUCCUCCCCAAGUUCCAUAUCCUCCUCACCCAGAUGCCCAAGAACACGAGGGGCAGGGGGAGGCUCCAGGCACCUAGCUACUCCACUCCAGAGAAUGGCCCAAGCAACAGAAGGCUGUCACUCAAACAGUUUUGAUUUGUAGUGUGGCUACAAUAAGUAAUUUGGCCUUGUCCUUGCCUCCUCCUGAACCCCACCUCACCACACCCGGGCU